AACGCACAUUGCGCCCGCUAGUAUUCUGGCGGGCAUGCCUGUUCGAGCGUCAUUUCAACGAUCAAGCUCCCUGGGGCUUGCGUUGGGGACCUGCGGCCGCCCGCAGGCCCCGAAAUGCAGUGGCGGGCUCGCUGUCAUACCGAGCGCAGUAGCAUAUCUCUCGCUCUGGAUGUGGUAGUAGGCGCCGGCCGUGAAAAGCCACAUCUUAAAAGGUUGACCUCGGAUCAGGUAGGAAUACCCGCUGAACUUAA
Molecule: unclassified non-coding RNA, 251 nt
Filed under: uncultured fungus
Lineage: Eukaryota; Fungi
Description: partial contains 5.8S ribosomal RNA, internal transcribed spacer 2, and large subunit ribosomal RNA
Source: RNAcentral